UACAGAGGGGGCAAGCGUUGUUCGGAAUUACUGGGCGUAAAGGGCGCGUAGGCGGCCUUCUAAGUCGAACGUGAAAUCCCUGGGCUCAACCCAGGAACUGCGUCCGAGACUGGUGGGCUCGAAUCCGGGAGAGGGAUGUGGAAUUCCAGGUGUAGCGGUGAAAUGCGUAGAUAUCAGGAAGAACACCGAUGGCGAAAGCAGCUCUCUGGGACGGUACUGACGCUGAGGCGCGAAAGCGUGGGGAGCGAACAGG
Molecule: ribosomal RNA, 253 nt
Filed under: uncultured bacterium
Lineage: Bacteria
Description: partial 16S ribosomal RNA
Rfam family: Bacterial small subunit ribosomal RNA
Source: RNAcentral